Non-coding RNA from Salmo salar (Atlantic salmon), 71 nucleotides. The record is from Rfam. NCBI's taxonomy places the organism in Eukaryota, Metazoa, Chordata, Actinopteri, Salmoniformes, Salmonidae.
AGCAGGGUAGCCUAGUGGUUAGAGCAUUGGGCUAGUAACCGAAAGAUUGCAAGUUCGAAUCCCCCCAGCUG